AGAGUUUGAUCCUGGCUCAGGACGAACGCUGGCGGCGUGCUUAACACAUGCAAGUCGAACGGUAAGGCCCUUCGGGGUACACGAGUGGCGAACGGGUGAGUAACACGUGGGUGAUCUGCCCUGCACUUCGGGAUAAGCUUGGGAAACUGGGUCUAAUACCGGAUAUGACUACGAAUCGCAUGGUUUGUGGUGGAAAGCUUUUGCGGUGUGGGAUGGGCCCGCGGCCUAUCAGCUUGUUGGUGGGGUGAUGGCCUACCAAGGCGACGACGGGUAGCCGGCCUGAGAGGGUGACCGGCCACACUGGGACUGAGAUACGGCCCAGACUCCUACGGGAGGCAGCUGUGGGGAAUAUUGCACAAUGGGCGCAAGCCUGAUGCAGCGACGCCGCGUGAGGGAUGACGGCCUUCGGGUUGUAAA
This 417-nucleotide ribosomal RNA is filed under the name uncultured bacterium. RNAcentral's name for it is "bacterial SSU rRNA". It matches the Rfam family "Bacterial small subunit ribosomal RNA", at positions 8 to 429 of the family's 1533-position model. The record is from RNAcentral.